GACGAACGCUGGCGGCGUGCUUAACACAUGCAAGUCGAGCGGUAAGGCCUCUUCGGGGGUACACGAGCGGCGAACGGGUGAGUAACACGUGGGUGACCUGCCCUCAGCUCUGGGAUAAGCCUGGGAAACUGGGUCUAAUACCGGAUAUGACCUUUCCUCGCAUGGGGUUUGGUGGAAAGUUUUUUCGGCUGGGGAUGGGCCCGCGGCCUAUCAGCGUGUUGGUGGGGUGAUGGCCUACCAAGGCGACGACGGGUAGCCGGCCUGAGAGGGCAACCGGCCAAACUGUGACUGAGACACGGCUCGGGCUCCUACGGGGGGCAGCAGUGUGGACUAUUGCGCAAUGUGCGGAAUCCUGACUCAGCGACGCCGCGUGGGGGAUGACGGCCUUCGUAUUGUAAACCUCUUUCGACCCCGACGAAUUUGUGCGGUGGGGGUAGAAGAAGCACCGGCCAGCUACGUG
Molecule: ribosomal RNA, 460 nt
Filed under: uncultured bacterium
Lineage: Bacteria
Description: partial 16S ribosomal RNA
Rfam family: Bacterial small subunit ribosomal RNA
Source: RNAcentral